GGCGGGUUGCCGGAGAGGCCGAUCGGGGCCGACUGUAAAUCGGCUGCAUCACGCCACGCAGGUUCGAAUCCUGCACCCGCCAC
This 83-nucleotide transfer RNA is filed under the name Bifidobacterium breve. RNAcentral's name for it is "tRNA-Tyr". It matches the Rfam family "tRNA". Rfam says of the family: Transfer RNA (tRNA) molecules are approximately 80 nucleotides in length. Their secondary structure includes four short double-helical elements and three loops (D, anti-codon, and T loops). Further hydrogen bonds mediate the characteristic L-shaped molecular structure. tRNAs have two regions of fundamental functional importance: the anti-codon, which is responsible for specific mRNA codon recognition, and the 3' end, to which the tRNAs corresponding amino acid is attached (by aminoacyl-tRNA synthetases). tRNAs cope with the degeneracy of the genetic code in two manners: having more than one tRNA (with a specific anti-codon) for a particular amino acid; and 'wobble' base-pairing, i.e. permitting non-standard base-pairing at the 3rd anti-codon position. The record is from RNAcentral. Lineage: Bacteria; Bacillati; Actinomycetota; Actinomycetes; Bifidobacteriales; Bifidobacteriaceae. RNAcentral also lists the same sequence under 4 other names.